Molecule: ribosomal RNA, 430 nt
Filed under: Bacillota bacterium
Lineage: Bacteria; Bacillati; Bacillota
Description: Firmicutes bacterium partial 16S ribosomal RNA
Rfam family: Bacterial small subunit ribosomal RNA
Source: RNAcentral
UAGGGAAUCUUCCGCAAUGGACGAAAGUCUGACGGAGCGACGCCGCGUGAGCGAAGAAGGUCUUCGGAUCGUAAAGCUCUGUUGUUAGGGAAGAAGAAGUGCCGUUCGAACAGGGCGGCGCGGUGACGGUACCUAACGAGAAAGCCCCGGCUAACUACGUGCCAGCAGCCGCGGUAAUACGUAGGGGGCGAGCGUUGUCCGGAAUUACUGGGCGUAAAGAGCACGUAGGCGGCUAUAAAAGUCAGAUGUGAAAAACCUGGGCUCAACCGAGGGUAUGCAUCUGAAACUAAAUAGCUUGAGUCAAGGAGAGGAGAGCGGAAUUCCUGGUGUAGCGGUGAAAUGCGUAGAGAUCAGGAAGAAUACCAGUGGCGAAAGCGGCUCUCUGGACUUGAACUGACGCUGAGGUGCGAAAGCGUGGGGAGCAAACAGG